RNAcentral lists this long non-coding RNA (1454 nucleotides) under Salarias fasciatus (jewelled blenny). RNAcentral describes it as "lncRNA (ENSSFAG00005010537.1)". Lineage: Eukaryota; Metazoa; Chordata; Actinopteri; Blenniiformes; Blenniidae. The record is from RNAcentral.
CAGACAUCACAGAGGUAAACAUUACCAGCUGAAUUUAUUUCAUAAUAUAACUAUUUCUAAUCUCCUGCCGGUUUGAGGAACAGCUCGGGUAAAUGUCACCAUGAUAGCGCAGUUCCGAUUUGUUUCAAACGCUUGUUUUGGUUUCGUUUUCAGAAAUCCCAUUAAAUAUACAGUCUUUGUUUCGUACAAUACUUUAACUGAGGUUCAGGAUGAAUCUGCUUUAGUCAACACAUGAACCUGCAUGUUGUGCUAUUCCGACAAUGUUAAUUUGAAAGUGUUUUGACGCUCGAUGGACAGAUACUUACCGUAAAAGUCAGUUUAAUUCCUCUACUGAAAGACACAUUUUAAGAACAUAACUCAGUACAUGAAGUGUUGUCAAGAUGUUUAAGAUAUUUUUAUUUCUCAUAGCUGGCACAGAGCCAGGAUGGCAGCGACCGUAUUUGUGAGAGUUGCUCGGGAUUUGGAGCCCUGCAGCAGAGCCAUAGGUCAGGAGUAUUUGGAUUGGGUUUACCGUUUUGUAACAAGGUACAGAUCUGAGAAGUUACCCUUGAACAAACCAGCCGGCGCCGUCCUGAAGAUCUGUGGGCUGGAGGACACCGAGUACAAGGAGAAGCUAGACGAGGUCACCGGCUGGGGAAAGUUCUACCUUCGGGACAUUGUGGACAUGCGGGUUGUGGGUGUGGUGGAGGGAACCUCCUGCCCUGUCGGUGACUUGGUCCUGUUGACGUGUGAGGACAAAAAGCUGUAUGGAUACGAUGGAGAGGAGCUGCAUGUGGUGGCUCCAAAUCUCCCCAAGGCCAUAAAUGACAAGAAAAUCGACUAUCCUGCAUCCGAGAGCUAUUACAACGGCGAGGCUUUCAAAGAUAUGACUGAGAGGGACUGGAAGGGUGUGAAGAUGGGACCUGUAGGACAACGCUUGGAGGAAGAGUACAAACGAAUGGUGCAACAAAAGAAGCAUUCAUUCAUGCAGAGCCUGAAGUCACCAGCACACUCAUAAGGGGUGUGUGAGUGAAUAUUGAGAGAAAAGUGGUUCUGCUGUAGGGCUGCACGAUACUGGAAAAAAAAUGACUUUGCAGUUUUUUUUCUAACCCUGCAGCAUAAAAAAAUUCUCAACAAAUGAAGUUAAUAGCACUUUGAGUUAUGCUGCACUCCUGACAUCUCUUUGACAGUUAACCUUUUCAUUACUCAUUUUUCAGUGUUGUUACCAGCAACUCACUCCAUGUGCAGGGGUGUGGUCGACUUCAAUAAAGUGAUAAAGAACGAGUUUGAUUAGUGGAUCGCUGUGCAGUGUGUUUGUCAGGAACGUUGAGUUCAUUUCAGUGAAGAGUCGAAAUUAUGAGAUGAGGAAAGCUGGCUAUCUGGCUCUUUUCAUGUACGUAAUCCUUCUUUUUGCUGACAAAAUAAAGUAUUCCUGAAUAAAAUUUACUUUGUUUGGAAUUUAUCCUCCACAGUUU